GCCCAUCUAGCUCACUUGGUGGAGCAUAAGGCUUCUAACCUUGUGAUCGUGAGUUCAAGCCUCAUAGUUUGCA
This 73-nucleotide transfer RNA is filed under the name Zea mays. It matches the Rfam family "tRNA". Rfam says of the family: Transfer RNA (tRNA) molecules are approximately 80 nucleotides in length. Lineage: Eukaryota; Viridiplantae; Streptophyta; Magnoliopsida; Poales; Poaceae. The record is from Rfam by way of RNAcentral.